UAGCAGCACGUAAAUAUUGGCGUAGUGAAGUAAAUCUUAAACCCCAAUAUUAUUGUGCUGCUUUA
Molecule: microRNA precursor, 65 nt
Filed under: Sarcophilus harrisii (Tasmanian devil)
Lineage: Eukaryota; Metazoa; Chordata; Mammalia; Dasyuromorphia; Dasyuridae
Description: Sha-Mir-15-P2b_pre stem-loop
Rfam family: mir-16 microRNA precursor family
About the family: The hairpin precursors (represented here) are predicted based on base pairing and cross-species conservation -- their extents are not known. In this case the mature sequence is excised from the 5' arm of the hairpin.
Source: RNAcentral